UCUGGUUGAUCCUGCCAGUAGUCAUAUGCUUGUCUUAAAGAUUAAGCCAUGCAUGUCUAAGUAUAAAUAGUAUACAGUGAAACUGCGAAUGGCUUAUUAAAACAGUUAUAGUUUACUUGAUAAUCGAAUUUUAUAUGGAUAACCGUAAUAAUUUUAGAGCUAAUACAUGCUGUUAAACCUGACUUUUCGGAAAGGUUGUAUUUAUUAGAUAACAACCAACAGCUUCGGCUGCUGUGAUGAUUCAUAAUAACUGAUCGGAGUGAAGCUAGUCUUCACUAAAUCAUUCAAGUUUCUGCCCUAUCACUUUGUUGUUAGUGUAUUGGACUAACAAGAGGAUUACGGGUACGAGGAAUUAGGGUUUGAUAUCGGAGAGGGAGCCUGAGAAACGGCUACCACUUCUAAGGAAGGCAGCAGGCGCGUAAAUUACCCAAUUCCGACUCGGAGAGGUAGUGACAAGAAAUAAUAACUCGGAUAGUUUUACUAUUACGAGAUUAAAAUGAGAACAAUUUAAAGAUCUUAUCGAGGAACAAUGAGAGGACAAGUCUGGUGCCAGCACCCGCGGUAAUUCCAGCUCUUAUAGUGUAUAUUAAAGUUGUUGCAGUUAAAAAGCUCGUAGUCUAUCAUCUAGUACUUUACGUAUUGGCUCACGCCAAGACGCUAAAGUGCUAUCUGUUCGAGAACUUCUUCUACCUUAACUGGUCGGAGAUGCUGAUCGGACAUUUUCCUGAGAAAAAAUUAGAGUGUUCAAAGCAGGCUAAUGCAGUGAAUAUUACAGCUUGGAAUAAUAGAAUAAGACUAAAGUCUCUUUUGUUGGUUAUGAACUUUAGUAAUAGUUAAUAUAAACAGUCGGGGGUAUUAGUAUUUAAGUGUCAGAGGUGAAAUUCUAUGAUUACUUAAAGACUAACUUAUGCGAAAGCAUUUACCAAGGAUGUUUUCAUUGAUCAAGAACGAAAGUUAGGGGAUCAAAGACGAUCAGAUACCGUCCUAGUCUUAACUAUAAACGAUUCCAACCAAGGAUCGGUAGGGUCUGCUAAGCCCUAUCGGCACUUUAUGAGAAAUCAAAGUCUUUGGGUUCUGGGGGAAGUAUUGACACAAGUCUGAAACUUAAAGGAAUUGACGGAAGGGCACACAAGGUGUGGAGACUGCGGCUUAAUUUGACCCAACACGGGGAAACUUACUAGGGCAAGACUAAGGUUGGAUUGACAGAAUGAGAGCUCUUUCUUGAUUCUUAGGGUGGUGGUGCAUGGCCGUUCUUAGUUGGUGGAGUGAUUUGUCUGGUUAAUUCCGUUAACGAACGAGACUUUAACCUGCUAAACUAGGAGCCGAAUUACUCAUUCGGUUUCCUUCUUAGAGGGACUAAGUGUUCAAGCACAAGGAAGUUUGAGGCAAUAACAG
RNAcentral lists this ribosomal RNA (1395 nucleotides) under metagenome. RNAcentral's name for it is "SSU rRNA". It matches the Rfam family "Eukaryotic small subunit ribosomal RNA", at positions 1 to 1459 of the family's 1831-position model. The record is from RNAcentral.